UGGUGGGCUCCACCCAGUUCCAGCUUCCCGGCUGCUUUGUUUACCUAAUCAAGCCUGGGCAAUGGCGGGCUCCCCUCCCCCAGCCUCGCUGCUGCCUUGCAGUUUGAUCUCAGACUGCUGUGCUAGCAAUCAGCGAGACUCCGUGGGCGUAGGACCCUCCGAGCCAGGUGUGGGAUAUAGUCUCGUGGUGCGCCGUUUUUUAAGCCCGUCGGAAAAGCGCAGUAUUCGGGUGGGAGUGACCCGAUUUUCCAGCUGGGUGCGGUGGCUCAGGACUGUAAUUCCAGCUACAUGAGAGGAUUGCCUGAGGCCAGGAGUUUGAGACCAGCCUGAACAACAUAAUAGACUGGGAGCUCCAUGAGGUCCGAGACAACCUGAAGACGCCCAGCUCAGCAGAGACUGGCUACGGCAAUCACUCAGUAACUAUUUGUUGAAUUGGACAUAAUAGAAGAGCUGAAGAAUUUUAAACAAGUCACCAUCAGUGCAGUGGAUUCCUCAAAGCAAACCUGGAAAUCUCGGCAUGAGUUGGAUUUAAGGCAGUACAUUUUCAGCUCCUGAAAAUUUGAACAGUUUCUCAAGAGAACAACUUGAAACAGAAAGGCAAGGAUGUAGAUGUGGUUGUAGAAGAUGAUGUCUGCGGCCACCAAACUGUCCACUGUGAAGACAAACCAUGCAUGUUUAGUAGGCAGUGGCUCCUCUUCCCUGUGGGGAGUCCCACUGCUUCCCUGGCCUGGGUGUUCUCUGCCGGUAGAUGUUAUUGACAAAAUAAGCAAAGUCCUCUGAUUCUGAGAAUUAGAGUUAAUGAUAGCUCUAGAUUGCCUCUGCCAUGCUAUUUAAAGUCCUGCUUUAUUGUCUGACAUGAGUUCGGCAUCUAUGAGGACUUGUCCAGUGCAAAGUACAAUCUCCACUGAAAGAUAUCACCAGCACAUCUUGUCACUGUGCUGUAGCAAGCUGGGCAGUACAAUGAUGUUGGCAGGAUCCUGUUUAGGUGGAGGAUGGCCACCUGGGCAUCAAGAAUCUUCUACCCUGAUUCCACAUUGACUCCCCAAAGUGGGCUUCAGACAGCUCUUUACUUACGUCUUCUGAUUAAAGCAGCAGACAGGGUCCCAGCUAGAGAAAAGUUCUGGGAGCAGGAGAGGUGUUGGUGGCUUUAAAACCAGGGGUGAAGAUUGAAUUAGGAGGUUAGGCAGGAGUAGGAUCAAAGACUUAGAAAAUGCUUGUUUCCUCCUAUUAUUCUUAUGAGAGCUGAUACGGGGCUUUCAGUUUUGGGGGAGAGCCUUGGAAGAGAAUGAGGGAAUUUAAUCAACUAGCGGGACCUUUCCAACUUACAUUUCCCAGUGUUUGUUGGAUGAUACGUUUGCCUAAUAAGUUAAAGCUUCCAAAAAUAGAAAGGAAAGCUUGGUGACACUAAGCUCUGGCAUGCUGUCAUCUUCUGGCUAGGGGUCUUGUGCUUCUGUUUUUCUAUUUCUGACCAAAGACAUAAAAUGUGUUGUGACCUCUCAGGUAAUGCUGUGGUAUCAUGUCCAAGCAGUAACUAACCAGAGUGGAGUUUUUACAGGUAAAAAAGUAUUGAAUAGCUCAGCAACAGGGAGGACUUAAUGAUAAAUUGCUUUUUCAGAAAAUGACAAGGGGACAGACACUUGCGGUUCUUCCAUUGAGAGCCUUAAGGAAGUUAAGCGAAGCCUCUGCUCACCCCUUCAAGUAACGAUGACCCAUCAGAUCGUGGUCAUAACCAGUAGCAUCUGAGGCACCCCUAAGCUCUCUGGGCCCCAGAUUCCUUGUUAAGUUAAAUGAGGUGACUUCCCAGUUUACCAUUCUAGGGGUUCCUGAGGAGUUAAAAAUGAAGGAGAAAAUGCAACAUGUACCAAGUGAGCAAGAGCUCAAGGCUUAUCUCUGGCACGAAAGUGACCGCUGUCCGUUAGAGAUGUGAUUGCCCUAGAUUUCCUUUAGGAAAUGCAAACAUUGAACUCUGGCCUUCAGGACCCAAGUCCCGGCUUGCAUCUAUUCUAUACACUUUCUGUUAUUUGUUAGGGCUCACAAGGAACAGUUAUUUAUCUUUUAUUUUCUAUUUUUUUUUUAGAGAUGGAGUCUCACUCUGUCUCCCAGGCUGGAGUGCAGUGGUGCCAUCUCAGCUCACUGCAACCUCCACCUCCCGGGUUCAAGCAAUUCUCCUGUCUCAGCCUCCUGAGUAGCUGGGACUACAGGCGUGUGCCAUCAUGCCCGGCUAAUUUUUAGUAUUUUUAGUAGAGGCAGGGUUUCACCAUAUUGGCCAGGCUGGUCUUGAACUCCUGAUCUCAAGUGAUCUACCCUCCUUGGCCUCCCAAACUGCUGGAAUUACAGAUGUGAGCGACCACACCUGGCCCAUUUGUUUUCUUUCAAACCCUUCUGUAAGACCAGUGCUUUAGGUGAACACGUGGACAGAACAAGAUCAUCACUAUUUUGCAAUAUGAAGACCAACUGCGCUGUGACCAGAAAAACAGAGGCAAAAUGUUGAGCUUAAUGAUACCUUUUUAUAAUUUGUAUUUGGUGUUUCUCAAUUUUCCAUUGGAUAGUUUGAGAGAUAAGUACAAGUCAAUGACAUGUUCUCUUUCGUACCCUAUUGUCUAAUCCUGCUAACACACACACACACACACACACACACACUGAUUACCUAAUUUAUCUGUUCCCCGAUUAUUACACUCUCAAUUGCUGCAGAGUCUCAGAAGCAGCAUGGUGUAACAGAAAGAAUAUGAGGCUUAGAAUCCAAAAGCCAGAGUGUGAAUUCCAGCUCCACUGACUUGCUGCGUGACUUGAAGCAAGUCAUUACGUGUCUCUGUUUACUCAUUUUAUGACUUUCCUAUUGCCUCUGUAAUAUAGCACCACAAACGUGUGGACUUAAAACAACAUGCAUUUAUUCUCUUAGCGUUCUGGAGGUCAGGAGUCUGACAUCAAUUUCGUUGGGCUAAAAUCAAGAUGUUGGUAGGACCAAGAUCCCCGUGGAGGCUCUGGGAGAACCCAUUUCCUUGCCUUUGCCAGCUUCUAAUGCUGCAUUCCUUGCAUUCCUUGAUUGUUGACCUCUUCCCCCAUCUUCAAAGCCAGCAGAACAGCACCUUGUUUCAUUGCCUUCUUUACUGUCAAAUCUCCCUCUGCCUUCUUCUUAUAAGAACACUUGUGGUUGCAUUUAGAAGCUGUGAUAAUCCAGAAUAAUAUCUUUAUCUCAAGAUCUUUGACUUGGUCUCUUCUGCAAAGUCUCUUUUGCCACAGAGGGAAAUAUUCACAGGUCCCAGGGGUCAGGCUGUGUACGUCUUUGGGGGACUUUAUUCUGCCUACCACACUCAUCUUUUUUUUUUUUUUUUUUGGAUGGAGUCUUGCUCUGUCACCCAGGCUGGAGUGCAGUGGCAUGAUCUCGGCUCACUGCAACUUCUGCCUCCCCAGUUCAAGCAAUUCUCCUGCCUCAACCUCCCAAGUAGCUGGAAUUACAGGCGCCUGCCACCACGCCCGGCUACUUUUUGUACUUUUAGUAGAGAUGGGGUUUCACUAUGUUGGCCUGGCUGGUCUUGAACUCCUGACCUCAGGUGAUUCCCCCACCUUGGCCUCCCAAAGUGCUGAGAUUACAGACGUGAGCCACCAUGCCCGGCCCCACACUCAUCUAUUAAGUAGAGCUAGGAAUUCCUAUCCUAAGGGACACAAAAAUGAAAAAAGAUAAAAUUUGUGAAGAGGCACAUAAUGAAAGCCCAUACAUGUCACUGAGUUCAGAGGAGGGUGGGUCUGACCUCCCAUUGGCUGGUCUCUGCCUGAUGGACAUCGUGAAGAAGAGAGCCAGGACUAGUGUGGCUGGGGGAUGUUCAGGGGCCAGAGUGGCUUCAGGUGCCAGCAGCCCUGGCCGAAGGAUGACUCCAGGAGCAAGGCUCAGAGCCGAGUGGAAGAAGCUUCAUAAACGCAACUGAGCCAAGCAUGAUGGGAUGUGCCUGUGGUUCCAGCUACUCAGGAGGCAGGUGGGAGGAUGGCUUGAGUCAGAAGUUCGAGGCUGCAGUGAGCUAUGAUCACACUACUGUACUCCAGCCUGGGUGACAGAAUGACACCCUGUCUCUAAAAAGAAAAGGCACCUGGAUGCUCAUGACCGAGAUGGGGUGGGGUGGGUGGGGUGGGACAGCCGCACUUUAUAACUUUGCUUUCAGCAUGAUGUGGAUUAGUGUCUCCCAUGUGGGAAAAUUAUGUUUACCACUUAGAGACCUGAUAGUGCUUGCUUACCCCAUAACGCUGGACGGUGGCAGGCUUAACUCCCCCAUCAAGGGCCUUAAUGUAUUUGGGGCCCUAGUCCUAGCAACAGCAGCAAAUCUCCUUUUUCUUUUCCUCGAGCUGGUUGUUCACCAGGCAGUUGGGAUGUUAAUGGGAAGAGAAGACACACACAAGUCCCUUGUUUUCAAUAAGGCAGUCUGGUCACGUCCUUAGCAGGUUAUUAAUCUUUUUCAAACCCCUCCUCUCCACCAAGUUUUAUGAUCCUGGGAAGGAGAUUCCUACCUAGCAUCCUUAGAGUUAUCGGGGGUUAGGAUCGGUGCAUGCAGUCACUUCCGUGGAAUCAUCAGUAGCCCUCCAGCCUCUGGGGAGAGCUGCCAGUGGUCAGAGAUGUUGGGAAUUACGAGGGAGGAGCUAGGGAGAAGGAACUCACAGUCCCUCAGUCUCUGAAGGUGGCUCCUGGCAGGAGAGGGGGCCAGUCCUAGAUAAGAGCUCUCCCAGGGAAUUCCAAGGGUCCUCCCAAGGUCCAGCCACAAGAUGAGGAAUUACUGUUGGGCUCUUCCUCAGAUGUGCCUGUGAAUUCAUAUCACAGAUGCUUGAUGCAUUUGACAAUUGUUUAAUUGCUUGAGCCCAACUGAUACUCUUUCAGUCACUUUAAGGGAGUGAUUUCAAGUAUGAUCAUUGCCUCAAAUCUGUAUGGCUUUCCUUGCCUUUCAGGUGCUUUAAGAGGGCUUAUGUUCUUUGACUCCCCUAGUAACUCAAAAGGGUGGCUAAGAUGCAACUCUGGAGGUUUCCAAGCUCUCUGCAAAGCCUGCCUUCAGUAGUCUGUGCACCACAAGAAGCAUAACUUUAUUAUCCUCUAGCUGAAUUUACCUCCUGCUUCGAGCCCCUGUUUUCCCAUGUCAUUUUAGGGGUCCAAUGUUUUUCCUGGAGGCAUAUACACACACACACACACACACACACACACACACACACACACACACACACACACAUAUAUACACACACACAUUCCAGGGGCCUCUGAGGUGCCAAGACAUGUGUGGGGUCCAUCUGGUUCACACUGAUGUCCAUGAUCAUUGAGUUCAUUUUUUAUAUCAACUAUGUGACACUUCCUAUAGUUUCCAGUUCCUGGUUAGAAUUUGCAAAGUUGCCGACUAUUUCUUUGAAUAGAGUAGCUAGAUCAUGGGUCUACACCAGUCAUCAAGCAGCGAUUUCCCUGUUGGAAGCUCCAAGCAAAUUGUCAGCUCCAGCAUUCCACACAGCUGUGGGUGCCACACUCCUUUUCCUUUUAAAAGAUGAUGAUCUGCUAGUGGUGAAUGCUCUUGGAGUUUUAUUUGUAGGUUUUUCUUGUUGUCGCAAAUGUCUAUAUUUCAUCUUCCCUCUUGAGGGAUAUUUUCCAUGGGUAGAGGAUCUAGGCUUUUCUUUUGGAUUCCAUUGUGGCUUUAAAAAAAAGUCAGUUGACUGUUUAUUUAUGGCUUCUCUAAAGGUGAUCUCUUUCUUCCUAAGGCUGCUUUAAAAGUUUCCGUUCCCUCCCUCCCUUCCUCCCACCCCAUCCCCCUUCUUCCUUUCCUUCCUCCCUCCCUUCCUCCCUUCUCUUCCUCCCUUUCUCCCUUGUCUUCCUCCUUUUCUCCCAUCCUCCCUUCCUCCCUCUUUCCUUCUUUUUUCCCUUCCUCCCGCCCUCCUUCCUUCUUCCAUCAUUAUAUAUUAAAAUAUUUUCUUUCUUUCUUUUUUUUUUUUGAGAUGGAGUUUCGCUCUUGUUGCCCAGGCUGGAGUGCAACGGUGUGAUCUUGGCUUACUGCAACCUCCACCUCCCUGGUUCAAGCGAUUCACCUGCCUCAGCCUCCCUAGUAGCUGGGAUUACAGGUGCCCGCCACCACACCCAGCUAAUUUUUGUAAUUGUAGUAGAGAUGGGGUUUCACCAUGUGGGCCAGGCUGGUCUUGAACUCCUGAACUCAGGUAAUCCACCCGCCUUGUCCUCCCAAAGUGCUGGAAUUACAGGCAUGAGCCACCACUCCCAGCCUAUUAAAAUAUUUUCUUCUGGGCCUUCCCUCCUUUUACUUCUUUUGAUACCGCCAUCAAAUGCAUGUUAGGUUGACUCACUGUGUACUCUAUUACCCUCUCAUCUGGUUUUUAAUCUUUCUGUCUCCUUAUACUGUAAUCUCAGUGUUUCUUCUGCUUUAAUUUUGGUAUAUGAAUUAUUCAGCUGUGUUCAAAGUGUGGUUAAAGCGACUUAUAUGCUCUUUAAUUUUUAGUUAUUGUACUUUUCACCUCUAGAAGUUCUUCUGUGACACUUCUUAUAGUUUCCAGUUCCUGGUUAGAAUUUGCAAACUUGUUGACUAUUUCUUUGAAAAGAGUAGCUAGAAUUGUUUUAGUCUGUGUAUAGUGAGUUGAAUAUCUGAAACCUCUGUGAGUCUGUUUCUUUUGUCUGCUAGCCCUACUCAUGGCGUCAUGUUUUCCUGGAUGUUUAGUUGGUUGUCUUUGAAUAUGUCCAACUCCAGUUAUUUCUGGGAAUACCCAAAGGCACACCUGUUCACUAUCACCCAGUGAACUGCCAUGUGUUUGUCUCCUGUCAUGGUAACAUUUGCAUUCAGGGAGAGGCCUCUGCUCUCUGCAGAACAGUGUGAAAUCACCUCAUUUUUGCCUUCAAUGAAGGUUGUCUCUUGCUGGUCACCACCACUUCCUCAAAUGACUAAUGCCACUCUUGCUCACAGUGCUAAGGCGCUAAGGAGUUUUCAGAGGGCUAGAGUGAUUCUGCAUCCUCUGGGGUUCUCAGGAAACGAGGCCACAGGGCCAUCUGUGCAUGAGUGACAGUGGGGUGGGGUGGAUGAGCAGUGGCAGUGGUGGGCACCUAUGCUGCUGGCGCCACAGCUUUUUAUAUCUUGGUGAAAACAACGCCUUGCGUUUUCACUUGUAGAUUCUCCGGCUACAUUCCACAAGAACAAAUUCUGGUCACAGAGGCCAGAGUAGACUAUCAGUGUAAUGGCCCUUCCCCUUUGAUGAUAGCAGCUUUUUUCGGGGGAGCAGGGGUGGCCAAACUUCCUAGCCUUAUUUUAUCUUCCUUUCUAGUUCUCCCCAGAGGCUGCUGGGUCCACCUCUCCCUCUGCCAGACAGACAGGCUCAGACAUGCAAGAACGGAAGGGGGUGUGGGGGUUGGUGGGAGGAUUAAGUUGGGGAAAGCCAGUCUUGUCUUUGUAGAUUACCAGAACUGACACACGUACACACACGUACACUCACUCACUCACUCACUCAUCUAUUCAUCUAUUUUUGGCCUAAGUGCCUUUGGACACUUCUUCGGAAAAGCACAUGAACUCUUCGGAGUCUCCUGUUCCACUUGGUAAAUUUCCUAUAGCCACGCACUGAAAGUCCCUGCUGCCCUCCUUCCUCUGAGCUUGUGGGGCCCACAGAUCCCCUGCUCCACUUCCUGCUUCAUUUCAGCUGAUGGUGAGUCCAGGGCAGGCUUGUAGGAAGGGCGGGCUAGGCGUGGGGAACUGCAGCACCCACCCCACCCCCCGCCCCAGUGCUUGUUGCCCCAGCCUCUGUCUCCCUCGCUGUGCCCUUCCCUUAAGCCCCACUCUUGGCCUCCCCAAAGACAGAGUUUGUUCUGUUUUUAUUGAUAGGAUGACACUCCCUCGUUCUAAUACCAUCUGAAUGCCUGAGCAAUUACAUCUUACAACCUCAUGAAAAACACAGCAGCUUGUCACGAUGAAUGAUGUUACCGUGAAUAAUGCAGUUUUGAGUUCAAACUCCUUCUUAUUCCAAGAAUGAGUAAAUAUCCCUAUUCCCUCCCCUCCCCAUUGCAUUUGGGUUUGACAUGACAUGAAUCAUUGUGGUUUUACUCCUGGGUAGAAUUGUUUUUCUGUAUUGCAUUGCCAAUUGAUGGAAGGACAAAAAAAGGAAACUUACCAAUGAGCAGUUUCAGAUGAACUUAAAUUCUCAGAAAUCUUGAAGAAUGAAUGAACUAUAACUUUCUGAAGUUGCAAAAAUGUUCAAGUCGGAAGUGACCCAUGGGAAGCAACCUGGUCCUUAAUUAGGACUGGAAAGAAAACGGAGGCCCAGCGAGGGAACAGUGGCUUCCCCAAGGUCACACUGCAAGUGAGUGGUGGCACUAGUCACCCAGGAGUCCUCCUGACUCCAUGGUAUCCUGACCCCAGACCAGCAGCCUUAUUUGUGGUUAAAGAACGUGGAAAAACAGCUUAUGUUUGAAUUUUAAAAUCAUGCCAGUACUAAAGAUCUGCAUUCCAUGAAUAUUGAGCUUUGCUGUGUGCGGGUUGCUACGAAUUUUGUAACUAUUUUCUCUAAGAGCUCUCAGUAUUUUACAUAUACAAUUCCAUUCUUUAUUGUCCAGGGAAAAAGUUGCAUUUACUGAGCAGUAAGAGGGUGAUUUGAAGUCCCUGGGGUCCCCCACCCUUGUCUUUCUAUGUGAGAUUGUAUUGCAGGGCUCACAUUUAUUCUCUCAGCAGCUCAUUGCACAGACAGUGUAUUUAUUGAGCACCUACUGUGUGCCAGGAGCUAUGUGGUAAGCUAAGCAGACAAAAACUCCUGCUCUCACAAGAAGAAAGAAUAAACAAGCAGACAAUUGCACCUAUAAUGUCAGCCUGGUGUGAUGGCUCACUCCUGGAAUCCUAGCACUUUGGGAGGUGACGAUGGGAGGAUUGCUUUAACUCGGGAGUUCAAGAUAAGCCUGGGCAACCAAGACCCUGUCUCUACAAAAAAAUCAAAAAAUUAGCUGGGGGUGAUGGCAUGAGUCUCUGGUCCCUCGGGACCAGAGGCCUCGGGAGGCUGAGGCGGGUUUAUCACUUGAGCCUGGGAGGUUGAGGCUGCAGUGAGCUGUGAUCACACCACUGCACUCCAGCCUGGGCCACAGAGCGAGACCCUGUCUCUAAAUAAACAAACAACCUAAUGUCAAGUUAGGAAGUGUGGCAAAAAGGAACAAAGUCAGGGUGACUGCCAUUCUAGAAAGGGUGGUGAGGGAAGGUCUCCUUGAGCAGAUCCUGUGGGAGUGGAAGGGUAAGUCACGAGACUCUCUGGAGGAAGAAGAUUCCAGGUGGAAAUGCCUUAGUGGGUGUUAAACGCUUUAACGGGUGUUAGCCAGAAAGCCAGAAUGGCUGGAGCUGAGGGAGUAGAGGAGGCGGCAUAGAAAAUGAGGUCAGAGAUGGAGGCAGGGCCGGAUCACAGAGGGGCACAGAGAACGAGGAGGGAAUUGGAUUUUUGGAAAAGAUUGUGGCAAAAUACAAAAUAUAAAAUACAAAAAUAAAAUAUAAACCAUAAAAUGUACUACCUUUACCAUUUUAAGUAUGCAGUUCAGUAGUGUUAAAUACAUUUACAUCAUUGUUCAACCCGUCUCCAGAACUCUCUGCAUCUUGCAAAAUUAAAACUCUAUGCCAUUUCAACAGUUCGCAUUUCCUCUUCCCUCUCGUUCAUGGCAACCGCCAUUUUUCUUUCUGUCUCUGUAAAUGUUAGUACUUGGGGUAUCUCAUCUAAGUGGAAUCACACAGUGUGUGUCCUUUUGUGACAGACUUAUUUCACUUUGCAUAAUGUCCUUAAUAUUCAUCCAUGUUGUAGCAUGUGUCAGAUUUUCCUUCCUUCUUAACAUUGUGUAAUAUUCCAUUGUACGCAUAGACUACAUUUAGCUUAUCUGUUCACCUGUGGAUGGACACUUGGGUUGCUAUAGUGAAUAAUAUUGCUGUAAAUAUGGGUAUACGAUUAUCUCUUUGUGACCCUGCUUUUAAUUGUUUUGGAUAUAUACCCAGAAAUGGAAUUACUGAAUCAUGUGGAGAUUCUGUUUUUGAUUUAUUUAUUUAUUUUUAAUUUUUGAGAUGGAGUCUCGUUCUGUCACCCAGGCUGGAGUGCAGUGACACGAUCUCUGCUCACUGCAACCUCUGCCUCCUUGCACCAUUAAUUCUGAAAAUGCAGGCCUGGAUCCAACCGCCUUUGGGGACGGGUACCUGCCCACAGGAAGAGGUUGAGGAGACAAUAAUGUCACGAGAAUCAUCAUCUUUGACUGGGAAAUGGUGUGCAGAGUUUCUGGUGCCUUCUGAAGUGAUUGUCGCAUCUCAGCCUCCCUAGUAGCUGGGAUUACAGGCAUUUGCCACCAAGCCCGGCUAAUUUUUGUAUUUUUAGUAGAGACGGGGUUUCAUCAUGUUGGCCAGGCUGGUCUCAAACUCCUGACCUCAGGUGAUCCACCUGCCUCAGCCUCCCAAAGUGCUGGGAUUAUAGGUGUGAGCCAUGCACCUGGCCUGAUUGGUUAUUUAAAUUCUGAGAUGGGGUAUACUAAUGUUUGAAAACCACAGGGAUGGGAUAGGUAUAGGUGGGGAGGGAGAGCAAAAGUGGUAUUUAGAAUAUGUUACGUUUGAAAAACCUAAUACACAUUCUACAUCCAAGUGGACAUAGAUGGAGUUAUUUGA
This 10616-nucleotide long non-coding RNA is filed under the name Homo sapiens (human). Its description in RNAcentral is "PREDICTED lncRNA (TCONS_00172820)". Lineage: Eukaryota; Metazoa; Chordata; Mammalia; Primates; Hominidae. The record is from RNAcentral.